Myotis lucifugus (little brown bat) is the source of this 75-nucleotide non-coding RNA. Lineage: Eukaryota; Metazoa; Chordata; Mammalia; Chiroptera; Vespertilionidae. The record is from Rfam.
GAGACACCCUUAUGGAGGAGGACUUGCUUCAUGGGACUUUGGUGUUCACUGAGUCUGCCCCUUGAGUGUGUCUCU